UGUUUUUAAAAAAGCACUUAUAUUUGGUUGUUCUCAUUCUUUGGCAGUGGGAAAUCCCUCCUUCAAUUACAAUUUUUAAUACAAUGGAGCCUGGACAAUUCCCCAGCUGAGAUAAGGGGCCCCUUAAUUUCUGCCUACCAGCUGUUGCACAGUGUUUUUCAUCUGAACAUCUCAAGGUGUUUUUUUAAGGGGAUUGGUUUUAAUUAGUAUUUUUAUCCUUAUUUUACAGGUGGGAAACUGAAUCAUGAAGAGAUUAAAUGAAUGCCCAAGGGCAGCGAGGGCACCAGCAGCAGUAGUGGGACUAGAACCUUAACCUUAAGGCUUAAGCCAAAGCUUUAACCAUUAGGAAACAUUGCCCUCCCCCACACCCAUUGUACACAGAACUAUAUGUACCAUAGUAUGGGACAGUUUCAGACUUGAAGCUCUUAAAAUAGGCAAGACAGACAAAGAGUGGAAGAAAGAUGGAAGUAGAAGAUACUUUGGAGGGAUUUAGGUGCCUAACUCCCAUGGGAAGUAAAUAUCUAGCUACCUUUGAAGAUGUGGGAAUGAGAGAUUAAGUGAUUUGCCCAAGGUUACACAAGAAGUUUUUGGCAGAGCCAGGAACUUAACCCAGUUUUCUGGAAUUCCAGUCUACUGCUGUAGCCACAACCUCAUCCUUGGCUCUUAUGCUUUUUGCCUGUUUCACUGCAAACAGAGUCACAUGGGAUAAUUUAGGAGGAUGAAAAAUUCUCAUCUUUGUAUCUAUCUUUCAGGCUUUAAACACCUAAUUUGGAAGACAGUUAACAGAUGCACAGAAGAUGAGCAAAAAGGAACAAAACUAGAAGGAAGAAGACCCACUUUUUUAAACCCAGAAGUGAGUUGCCCAUGGCUGCAGCCUACAGCUUUAACGCUUUAUUCCACUGCCACCGUGAGGUGUGAUGGGACGUAUCAGGCUUUUUCAGGCCCCCUACUAGAAUCCUCCCUGUGCUACCACACCCUGCUCCGGAAAAAGAGCAAUAAAGGUGAGUCCUCCAGGCCUGUCUAGAAAGGCUGCAGAGAAUCAGCCAAUCACAGUCCAGCAAGCUGAGCUAAAAGGAGCUGCAGGGACUGAACAGCUCAGUUCCCUUGUGGGAACCAGAAAAAGCAAGGAUGGGGCUUGUUGCAGGAGCUCAGGGGAGAAUGAGAAGAUGAGUUCUGGUGAUGGAAGCAUUCUGUGAGAAAGAACUUCCAUCCUGAGAAUGAACAAUGACUAUGAGAUUCCUCCAAUGACCACAACCAAUCGUGUGUGGACACUAUAUGAAAGUUUAUAGUUAAGGUCAUUUUGAAUUACGUGAGGAGGGAGAA
Pelodiscus sinensis (Chinese soft-shelled turtle) is the source of this 1323-nucleotide non-coding RNA. The record is from RefSeq and is a predicted model, not a curated record. NCBI's taxonomy places the organism in Eukaryota, Metazoa, Chordata, Testudines, Trionychidae.